CCUAGUUGAUCCCGCUAGUAGUCAUAUGCUUGUCUCAAAGAUUAAGCCAUGCAUGUGUAAGUAUGAACUAAUUCAGACUGUGAAACUGCGAAUGGCUCAUUAAAUCAGUUAUAGUUGUUUGAUGGUAUUUGCUACUCGGAUAACCGUAGUAAUUCUAGAGAUAAUACGUGCAACAAACCCCGACUCUUGGAAGGGAUGCAUUUAUUAGAUAAAAGGUCGACGCGGGCUUUGCCGUUGCUCUGAUGAUUCAUGAUAACUUGACGGAUCGCACGGCCAUCGUGUCGGCGACGUAUCAUUCAAAUUUCUGCCCUAUCAACUUUUGAUGGUAGGAUAGUGGCCUACUAUGGCGGUGACGGGUGACGGAGAAUUAGGGUUCGAUUUCGGAGAGGGAGCCUGAGAAACGGCUACCACAUCCAAGGAAGCAGCAGGCACGCAAAUUAUCCAAUCCUGACACGGGAGGUAGUGACAAUAAUAACAAUACCGGGCUCUUUGAGUCUGGUAAUUGGAAUGAGUACAAUCUAAAUCCCUUAACGAAUCCAUUGGAGGGUAAGUCUGGUGCCAGCAGCCGCGGUAAUUCCAGCUCCAAUAGCGUAUAUUUAAGUUGUUGCAGUUAAAAAGCUCGUAGUUCGUAGUUGGACCUUGGUUGGGUCGGCCGGUCCACCUCGCGGUGUGCACUGAUUGGCUCGUCCCUUCUACCGGCGAUACGUUCCUGCCUUAACUGGCCGGGUUGUGCCUCCAGUGCUGUUACUUUAAAGAAAUUAGAGUGCUCAAAGCAAGCCUACGCUCUGUAUACAUUAGCAUGGGAUAACAUCAUAGGAUUUCGGUCCUAUUGUAUUGGCCUUCGGGAUCGGAGUAAUGAUUAACAGGACAGUCGGGGGCAUUGUAUUUCAUAGUCAGAGGUGAAAUUCUUGGAUUUAUGAAAGACGAACAACUGCAAAAGCAUUUGCCAAGGAUGUUUUCAUUAAUAAAGAACGAAAGUUGGGGCUCGAAGACGAUCAGAUACCGUCCUAGCCUCAACCAUAAACGAUGCUAACUAGGGAUCGGCGGAUGUUACUUUUAGGACUCUGCCGGCACCUUAUGAGAAAUCAAAGUUUUGGGUUCGGGGGAGUAUGGUCGCAAGGCUGAAACUUAAAGGAAUUGACGGAAGGCACCAUCAGGAGUGGAGCCUGCGGCUUAAUUUGACUCAACACGGGGAAACUUACCAGAUCCAGACAUAGUAAGGAUUGACAGACUGAGAGCUCUUUCUUGAUUCUAUGGGUGGUGGUGCAUGGCCGUUCUUAGUUGGUGGAGCGAUUUGUCUGGUUAAUUCCGAUAAUGAACGAGACCUCAGCCUGCUAACUAGCUAUGUAGAUGUACAUCUCCAUGUCCAGCUUCUUAGAGGACUAUGGCCGAAGUCACGUCAUGGCGAUCGAGCCAAGGUCACGUCAAGGUUGCACGACUUUACAGGCGUUUUUGAGGGGCGAGGGUGGGCAAACCGCCUACAGCGUUUGUCAAUGCAUUCGUCUCGAAAAGUUAUGCGAAAUCAAAGAAAAAUUCGUCCGAAACGGAUGCUUGAGCAAUGAGAUAUGCCCUUCCGAAGUCGGCGAGCGGGUGACGAACCUCAAGCUCGACUGGGCGAUCGGAUUGAUUUGGAUUUGGGAUUUGAGAGGGAGAGGACGAAUCGAAGCGACAAUGGCUGAACCUCAGUGGAUCGUGGCAG
RNAcentral lists this ribosomal RNA (1699 nucleotides) under Psidium guajava. RNAcentral describes it as "SSU rRNA". It matches the Rfam family "Eukaryotic small subunit ribosomal RNA", at positions 3 to 1390 of the family's 1831-position model. The record is from RNAcentral. Lineage: Eukaryota; Viridiplantae; Streptophyta; Magnoliopsida; Myrtales; Myrtaceae.